UCCCUAGUCAUACUUAUAUAUACACCGUGUUUUUAUUGAAUUCCGUUAACUUCGGGGUAUGGUUAAGUACGUUUAAGAGAACUAAAUGGCAUAGUUAAUUUUUUGCUUUUUUUUUACAAAAAAUAAUAAGUUUGAAAAGUAAUUAAAUGUAGCAUAUAGCGUCGUUGUAACACGGGCAUUACAUUUAACUCAACCAAACAAUUGAAAUCUGUGACAUAUCAAUGUCAUUUCGAACAUCGAUCGACCGAGAUUAUACUUAAGUUUAGUAGCAAAUGUAUGAACUCAUUCUAAACACUAAUCAAUAUGUAAACCGGCCCUAAGGCAAGUGUACACGCUUGUAGAGGCCUUAUAGGAAAAAAAUAAAUUAUUGAUUAUCUGCGAAAUGGAGUUAAUUAGAAUAUCGGUGUCUUUGAGAAAGUUACUUAAUUUAAGCUCAGGAAUGCACCCUUGAAAUUAACGGAAAUCAAAAAAAACACGCCUAUAUACGUCCCACUGCUGGGCACAGGCCUCCUCUCAUGCGCGAGAGGGCUUGGGCUAUAGUCCCCACGCUAGCCCAAUGCGGAUUGGGGACUUCACAUACAGCUUUGAAUUUCUUCGCAGAUGUAUGCAGGUUUCCUCACGAUGUUUUCCUUCACCGAAAAGCUAGUGGUAAAUAUCAAAUGAUAUUUCGUAUAUAAGUUCAAAAAAACUCAUUGGUACGAGCCAGGAUUUGAACCCGCGACCUCCAGAUUGAAAGUCGGACGUCAUAUCCACUCGGCCACCA
Cydia amplana is the source of this 763-nucleotide long non-coding RNA. RefSeq lists it as uncharacterized. The transcript is spliced from 3 exons. Lineage: Eukaryota; Metazoa; Arthropoda; Insecta; Lepidoptera; Tortricidae. The record is from RefSeq and is a predicted model, not a curated record.